This 2906-nucleotide ribosomal RNA is filed under the name Citrobacter braakii. RNAcentral describes it as "23S ribosomal RNA". It matches the Rfam family "Bacterial large subunit ribosomal RNA". The record is from RNAcentral. Lineage: Bacteria; Pseudomonadati; Pseudomonadota; Gammaproteobacteria; Enterobacterales; Enterobacteriaceae.
GGUUAAGCGACUAAGCGUACACGGUGGAUGCCCUGGCAGUCAGAGGCGAUGAAGGACGUGCUAAUCUGCGAUAAGCGUCGGUAAGGUGAUAUGAACCGUUAUAACCGGCGAUUUCCGAAUGGGGAAACCCAGUGCAAUUCGUUGCACUAUCAUUGCGUGAAUACAUAGCGUAAUGAAGCGAACCGGGGGAACUGAAACAUCUAAGUACCCCGAGGAAAAGAAAUCAACCGAGAUUCCCCCAGUAGCGGCGAGCGAACGGGGAGCAGCCCAGAGUCUGAAUCAGCGUGUGUGUUAGUGGAACGGUCUGGAAAGUCCGACGGUACAGGGUGAUAGUCCCGUACACCAAAACACACAGGUUGUGAACUCGAAGAGUAGGGCGGGACACGUGGUAUCCUGUCUGAAUAUGGGGGGACCAUCCUCCAAGGCUAAAUACUCCUGACUGACCGAUAGUGAACCAGUACCGUGAGGGAAAGGCGAAAAGAACCCCGGCGAGGGGAGUGAAAAAGAACCUGAAACCGUGUACGUACAAGCAGUGGGAGCCUCUUUAUGGGGUGACUGCGUACCUUUUGUAUAAUGGGUCAGCGACUUAUAUUCUGUAGCAAGGUUAACCGAAUAGGGGAGCCGAAGGGAAACCGAGUCUUAACUGGGCGUUAAGUUGCAGGGUAUAGACCCGAAACCCGGUGAUCUAGCCAUGGGCAGGUUGAAGGUUGGGUAACACUAACUGGAGGACCGAACCGACUAAUGUUGAAAAAUUAGCGGAUGACUUGUGGCUGGGGGUGAAAGGCCAAUCAAACCGGGAGAUAGCUGGUUCUCCCCGAAAGCUAUUUAGGUAGCGCCUCGUGAAUUCAUCUUCGGGGGUAGAGCACUGUUUCGGCUAGGGGGUCAUCCCGACUUACCAACCCGAUGCAAACUGCGAAUACCGAAGAAUGUUAUCACGGGAGACACACGGCGGGUGCUAACGUCCGUCGUGAAGAGGGAAACAACCCAGACCGCCAGCUAAGGUCCCAAAGUCAUGGUUAAGUGGGAAACGAUGUGGGAAGGCACAGACAGCCAGGAUGUUGGCUUAGAAGCAGCCAUCAUUUAAAGAAAGCGUAAUAGCUCACUGGUCGAGUCGGCCUGCGCGGAAGAUGUAACGGGGCUAAACCAUGCACCGAAGCUGCGGCAGCGACACUAUGUGUUGUUGGGUAGGGGAGCGUUCUGUAAGCCGUUGAAGGUGUGCUGUGAGGCAUGCUGGAGGUAUCAGAAGUGCGAAUGCUGACAUAAGUAACGAUAAUGCGGGUGAAAAACCCGCACGCCGGAAGACCAAGGGUUCCUGUCCAACGUUAAUCGGGGCAGGGUGAGUCGACCCCUAAGGCGAGGCCGAAAGGCGUAGUCGAUGGGAAACAGGUUAAUAUUCCUGUACUUGGUGUUACUGCGAAGGGGGGACGGAGAAGGCUAUGUUGGCCGGGCGACGGUUGUCCCGGUUUAAGCGUGUAGGUGUGUGUUCCAGGUAAAUCCGGAAUGCUUUAACACUGAGGCGUGAUGACGAGGCACUACGGUGCUGAAGUGACAAAUGCCCUGCUUCCAGGAAAAGCCUCUAAGCAUCAGGUAACAUCAAAUCGUACCCCAAACCGACACAGGUGGUCAGGUAGAGAAUACCAAGGCGCUUGAGAGAACUCGGGUGAAGGAACUAGGCAAAAUGGUGCCGUAACUUCGGGAGAAGGCACGCUGAUAUGUAGGUGAAGUGAUUUACUCAUGGAGCUGAAAUCAGUCGAAGAUACCAGCUGGCUGCAACUGUUUAUUAAAAACACAGCACUGUGCAAACACGAAAGUGGACGUAUACGGUGUGACGCCUGCCCGGUGCCGGAAGGUUAAUUGAUGGGGUUAUCCGUAAGGAGAAGCUCUUGAUCGAAGCCCCGGUAAACGGCGGCCGUAACUAUAACGGUCCUAAGGUAGCGAAAUUCCUUGUCGGGUAAGUUCCGACCUGCACGAAUGGCGUAAUGAUGGCCAGGCUGUCUCCACCCGAGACUCAGUGAAAUUGAACUCGCUGUGAAGAUGCAGUGUACCCGCGGCAAGACGGAAAGACCCCGUGAACCUUUACUAUAGCUUGACACUGAACACUGGUCCUUGAUGUGUAGGAUAGGUGGGAGGCUUUGAAGUGUGGACGCCAGUCUGCAUGGAGCCGACCUUGAAAUACCACCCUUUAAUGGCUGGUGUUCUAACGUUGGCCCGUGAUCCGGGUUGCGGACAGUGUCUGGUGGGUAGUUUGACUGGGGCGGUCUCCUCCCAAAGAGUAACGGAGGAGCACGAAGGUUAGCUAAUCCUGGUCGGACAUCAGGAGGUUAGUGCAAAGGCAUAAGCUAGCUUGACUGCGAGAGUGACGGCUCGAGCAGGUGCGAAAGCAGGUCUUAGUGAUCCGGUGGUUCUGAAUGGAAGGGCCAUCGCUCAACGGAUAAAAGGUACUCCGGGGAUAACAGGCUGAUACCGCCCAAGAGUUCAUAUCGACGGCGGUGUUUGGCACCUCGAUGUCGGCUCAUCACAUCCUGGGGCUGAAGUAGGUCCCAAGGGUAUGGCUGUUCGCCAUUUAAAGUGGUACGCGAGCUGGGUUUAGAACGUCGUGAGACAGUUCGGUCCCUAUCUGCCGUGGGCGCUGGAGAAUUGAGGGGGGCUGCUCCUAGUACGAGAGGACCGGAGUGGACGCAUCACUGGUGUUCGGGUUGUCAUGCCAAUGGCACUGCCCGGUAGCUAAAUGCGGAAGAGAUAAGUGCUGAAAGCAUCUAAGCACGAAACUUGCCCCGAGAUGAGUUCUCCCUGACCCUUUAAGGGUCCUGAAGGAACGUUGAAGACGACGACGUUGAUAGGCCGGGUGUGUAAGCGCAGCGAUGCGUUGAGCUAACCGGUACUAAUGAACCGUGAGGCUUAACCUU